AGAGAAGAGAAGAGAAGAGAAGGCAGGUCAGUGUUACAAAUCAAUUUGUUGUGAAUAAAAUGAACUCAAACAGAGCUUUUUUCAUACCUGUUCUGUAAACUCCCCUUUCAUAUACAAGACAGUAAAACAGGCAGCUAGACUUAAUCUUCAGACAUUGUGCUUUUUAUCUACAGUGCUUCCAUGAUUGUGUUUCUUCCAGCAACUCCAGACAGAUGAAUCAAGAUAUGAACACAGAUUUUGAAAAAGAAAACCAGCUGUACCAGCCUAAGGCAGUGUGAACAUUCAUUCCUGUAUCAAGGAUGCAGCCACCUGCCCCAGUUCCUCCCUUCCACCCAUGAGCCAAAAAGGCCCCUGGAUCCUUGUGACACAGCUCUUCUCUGGAUUCUUGGUGUCUGAUAACCUCCUAGGCCGCACAUAAGAUCAUACCAAGAAACUGUAAGUGUAAGCCCUCACUUGGAGAUUGAUUGGGAAUUGCCUAUUUGCUCCUGACACUGUUCUCUUGCUAACUUUCCAGUCACUCACCAUUUGGGAUCUCAGUAACAUUUUCCUCUACUGUCCUCUCCUG
RNAcentral lists this long non-coding RNA (565 nucleotides) under Zonotrichia albicollis (white-throated sparrow). RNAcentral describes it as "lncRNA (ENSZALG00000008989.1)". The record is from RNAcentral. Lineage: Eukaryota; Metazoa; Chordata; Aves; Passeriformes; Passerellidae.